UGGGGAAUUUUGGACAAUGGGCGAAAGCCUGAUCCAGCAAUGCCGCGUGCAGGAUGAAGGCCUUCGGGUUGUAAACUGCUUUUGUACGGAACGAAAAGCUUCGGGCUAAUACCCUGGAGCCAUGACGGUACCGUAAGAAUAAGCACCGGCUAACUACGUGCCAGCAGCCGCGGUAAUACGUAGGGUGCAAGCGUUAAUCGGAAUUACUGGGCGUAAAGCGUGCGCAGGCGGUUUUGUAAGACAGAGGUGAAAUCCCCGGGCUCAACCUGGGAACUGCCUUUGUGACUGCAAGGCUAGAGUACGGCAGAGGGGGGUGGAAUUCCGCGUGUAGCAGUGAAAUGCGUAGAUAUGCGGAGGAACACCGAUGGCGAAGGCAACCCCCUGGGCCUGUACUGACGCUCAUGCACGAAAGCGUGGGGAGCAAACAGG
This 429-nucleotide ribosomal RNA is filed under the name uncultured prokaryote. RNAcentral's name for it is "bacterial SSU rRNA". It matches the Rfam family "Bacterial small subunit ribosomal RNA", at positions 355 to 776 of the family's 1533-position model. RNAcentral also lists the same sequence under 1 other name. The record is from RNAcentral.